RNAcentral lists this non-coding RNA (580 nucleotides) under Pan troglodytes (chimpanzee). Lineage: Eukaryota; Metazoa; Chordata; Mammalia; Primates; Hominidae. The record is from RNAcentral.
GGAUUUUAAAAAUUAUUAUUCGCUAGAAAAAAGACCACGAACUUUGGAGUGGACAUCCUGAGACCUGCCUACGAAGACCAUUAGGGUAAAGAAGUCACCCCUUCACCCCAGGACCAGGAAGCCUCCAGGAUGGCAUAAGCGACCAAACAGCUGCGAGCCAAGCACAGUGCAGGGGGCUUGGGGGCGGCGGCCGGAGGCUGGGGUGGUGGCCUCCAGAAGACACUCCUCUGAUUCCUACACCGAGGGAACACACAGCAGCAAGCUAGGAAAGAAGGGGUGACCCAGCCCAACGCUCUAAACCAGGGCGCGAACCGGCGUUGAGCUGUGCAGCUGCGCCCUGGGCUCCAGUCCUGCUCUGCCGCAGACCCCACCGGAGCCAGCACCUGCCUCCCCGACCCUCGCUGGGGAGGCUGUGAGAUGAGCCCAGAGCCUUCCUGAGCCAACCCUCGCAAGGAAAGUCCGUCUGUUCACCCCACUAUCCUUGUCUUGAAGGAUGAAGAAAAGAGAGCCCCCCGGGAGGUCCCAAAAGGUGGAAUGGACAUCUGGGAUCCAAGCACAGCAAUUUCUUUCUUUUUCUUAC